GUUAUUGUAGCUUAUCACAAAGCAUGACACUGAAGAUGUCAAGAUGGGAACUAAUCCACCCCAAAAACA
This 69-nucleotide transfer RNA is filed under the name Rheodytes leukops. Its description in RNAcentral is "tRNA-Phe". It matches the Rfam family "tRNA". Rfam says of the family: Transfer RNA (tRNA) molecules are approximately 80 nucleotides in length. Their secondary structure includes four short double-helical elements and three loops (D, anti-codon, and T loops). Lineage: Eukaryota; Metazoa; Chordata; Testudines; Chelidae. The record is from RNAcentral.